AAACACGAGAGUGCCUCGGGAGCCCGAAGACAGGUGCUGCAUGGCUGUCGUCAGCUCGUGUCGUGAGAUGUUGGGUUAAGUCCCGCAACGAGCGCAACCCCCUAUCUCUAGUUGCCAGCGAUUCGGUCGGGGACUCUAGAGAUACUGCCCCGGUUAACGGGGAGGAAGGUGGGGAUGACGUCAAGUCCUCAUGGCCCUUAUGCCCAGGGCUACACACGUGCUACAAUGGGCGGUACAAAGGGUAGCGAUGCCGCGAGGCGAAGCCAAUCCCAAAAAGCCGUCCACAGUUCGGAUUGGAGUCUGCAACUCGACUCCAUGAAGCCGGAAUCGCUAGUAAUCGUGGAUCAGCAUGCCACGGUCGAAUACGUUCCCGGGCCUU
Molecule: ribosomal RNA, 379 nt
Filed under: uncultured Desulfobacterium sp.
Lineage: Bacteria; Pseudomonadati; Thermodesulfobacteriota; Desulfobacteria; Desulfobacterales; Desulfobacteriaceae
Description: bacterial SSU rRNA
Rfam family: Bacterial small subunit ribosomal RNA
Source: RNAcentral